UACGGGGGGAGCAAGCGUUGUUCGGAUUUACUGGGCGUAAAGGGCGCGUAGGCGGCCAGCACAAGUCAGUUGUGAAAUCUCCGAGCUUAACUCGGAAAGGUCAACUGAUACUGUGCGGCUAGAGUGCGGAAGGGGCAACUGGAAUUCUUGGUGUAGCGGUGAAAUGCGUAGAUAUCAAGAGGAACACCCGCGGCGAAGGCGGGUUGCUGGGCCGACACUGACGCUGAGGCGCGAAAGCCAGGGGAGCGAACGGG
RNAcentral lists this ribosomal RNA (254 nucleotides) under uncultured bacterium. RNAcentral describes it as "partial 16S ribosomal RNA". It matches the Rfam family "Bacterial small subunit ribosomal RNA", at positions 524 to 776 of the family's 1533-position model. The record is from RNAcentral.